This 439-nucleotide ribosomal RNA is filed under the name uncultured bacterium. RNAcentral describes it as "partial 16S ribosomal RNA". It matches the Rfam family "Bacterial small subunit ribosomal RNA", at positions 339 to 795 of the family's 1533-position model. The record is from RNAcentral.
CUACGGGACGCAGCAGUGAGGAAUUUUGCGCAAUGGGGGGAACCCUGAUGCAGCAACGCCGCGUGGAGGAUGACGCAUUUCGGUGUGUAAACUCCUUUUAUAUGUCAAGAAAAUGACGGUAGCAUAUGAAUAAGCACCGGCUAACUCCGUGCCAGCAGCCGCGGUAAUACGGAGGGUGCAAGCGUUACUCGGAAUCACUGGGCGUAAAGGACGCGUAGGCGGGUUGGAAAGUAAGGUAUGAAAUCCUACAGCUUAACUGUAGAACUGCACUUGAAACUUCUAAUCUAGAGUAUGGGAGGGGGAGAUGGAAUUAGUGGUGUAGGGGUAAAAUCCGUAGAUAUCACUAGGAAUACCUAAAGCGAAGGCGAUCUCCUGGAACAUUACUGACGCUAAGGCGUGAAAGCGUGGGGAGCAAACAGGAUUAGAUACCCUUGUAGUC